This 90-nucleotide transfer RNA is filed under the name Cyanobacteria bacterium UBA9579. Its description in RNAcentral is "tRNA-Ser". It matches the Rfam family "tRNA". Rfam says of the family: Transfer RNA (tRNA) molecules are approximately 80 nucleotides in length. Their secondary structure includes four short double-helical elements and three loops (D, anti-codon, and T loops). The record is from RNAcentral. Lineage: Bacteria; Bacillati; Cyanobacteriota.
GGAGAGGUGGCCGAGUCGGUCGAAGGCGGCUUCCUGCUAAGAAGUUGUUGUGCCCUUCGGGGCACCGUGGGUUCGAAUCCCACCCUCUCC